This 253-nucleotide unclassified non-coding RNA is filed under the name Candidatus Kaiserbacteria bacterium. Its description in RNAcentral is "contains 16S-23S intergenic spacer region". It matches the Rfam family "Bacterial small subunit ribosomal RNA", at positions 524 to 776 of the family's 1533-position model. The record is from RNAcentral. Lineage: Bacteria; Candidatus Kaiseribacteriota.
UACAGAAGCCUCGAGCGUUACCCGGAUUCACUGGGCGUAAAGGGUGCGUAGGCGGUGUUAUUAGUCAGAUGUUAAAUCCUGGGGCUCAACCUCAGGCUCGCAUUUGAAACGGUAACACUAGAAGAAGUCAGAGGUACAUGGAACUCUCGGUGUAGGGGUGAAAUCCGUUGAUAUCGAGGGGAACACCAAAUGCGAAGGCAAUGUACUGGGACUUUCUUGACGCUGAGGCACGAAAGCGUGGGUAGCGAACGGG